UGAGCAACCUGCCCUUGACACCGGGAUAACAGUUGGAAACAGCUGCUAAUACCGGAUAUGACCUCCGACGGCAUCAUCUGGAGGUGGAAAGUUCUGGCGGUCAAGGAUGGGCUCGCGGCCUAUCAGCUUGUUGGUGAGGUAACGGCUCACCAAGGCUUCGACGGGUAGCCGGCCUGAGAGGGCGACCGGCCACACUGGGACUGAGACACGGCCCAGACCUCCGUACGGGAGCAG
This 234-nucleotide ribosomal RNA is filed under the name uncultured bacterium. Its description in RNAcentral is "partial 16S ribosomal RNA". It matches the Rfam family "Bacterial small subunit ribosomal RNA", at positions 118 to 347 of the family's 1533-position model. The record is from RNAcentral.